Molecule: ribosomal RNA, 253 nt
Filed under: uncultured bacterium
Lineage: Bacteria
Description: partial 16S ribosomal RNA
Rfam family: Bacterial small subunit ribosomal RNA
Source: RNAcentral
UACGAAGGGUGCAAGCGUUACUCGGAAUUACUGGGCGUAAAGCGUGCGUAGGUGGUUCGUUAAGUCUGAUGUGGAAGCCCUGGGCUCAACCUGGGAAUGGCAUUGGAAACUGGCGACCUAGAGUGCGGUAGAGGGUAGUGGAAUUCCCGGUGUAGCAGUGAAAUGCGUAGAGAUCGGGAGGAACAUCUGUGGCGAAGGCGACUGCCUGGACCAGCACUGACACUGAGGCACGAAAGCGUGGGGAGCAAACAGG